UUAAGCGACUAAGCGUACACGGUGGAUGCCCUGGCAGUCAGAGGCGAUGAAGGACGUGCUAAUCUGCGAUAAGCGUCGGUGAGGUGAUAUGAACCGUUAUAACCGGCGAUUUCCGAAUGGGGAAACCCAGUGUGUUUCGACACACUAUCAUUAACUGAAUCCAUAGGUUAAUGAGGCGAACCGGGGGAACUGAAACAUCUAAGUACCCCGAGGAAAAGAAAUCAACCGAGAUUCCCCCAGUAGCGGCGAGCGAACGGGGAGGAGCCCAGAGCCUGAAUCAGUGUGUGUGUUAGUGGAAGCGUCUGGAAAGGCGUGCGAUACAGGGUGACAGCCCCGUACACAAAAAUGCACAUAUUGUGAGCUCGAUGAGUAGGGCGGGACACGUGGUAUCCUGUCUGAAUAUGGGGGGACCAUCCUCCAAGGCUAAAUACUCCUGACUGACCGAUAGUGAACCAGUACCGUGAGGGAAAGGCGAAAAGAACCCCGGCGAGGGGAGUGAAAAAGAACCUGAAACCGUGUACGUACAAGCAGUGGGAGCCUCUUAAUGGGGUGACUGCGUACCUUUUGUAUAAUGGGUCAGCGACUUAUAUUCUGUAGCAAGGUUAACCGAAUAGGGGAGCCGAAGGGAAACCGAGUCUUAACUGGGCGUUAAGUUGCAGGGUAUAGACCCGAAACCCGGUGAUCUAGCCAUGGGCAGGUUGAAGGUUGGGUAACACUAACUGGAGGACCGAACCGACUAAUGUUGAAAAAUUAGCGGAUGACUUGUGGCUGGGGGUGAAAGGCCAAUCAAACCGGGAGAUAGCUGGUUCUCCCCGAAAGCUAUUUAGGUAGCGCCUCGUGAAUUCAUCUCCGGGGGUAGAGCACUGUUUCGGCAAGGGGGUCAUCCCGACUUACCAACCCGAUGCAAACUGCGAAUACCGGAGAAUGUUAUCACGGGAGACACACGGCGGGUGCUAACGUCCGUCGUGAAGAGGGAAACAACCCAGACCGCCAGCUAAGGUCCCAAAGUCAUGGUUAAGUGGGAAACGAUGUGGGAAGGCCCAGACAGCCAGGAUGUUGGCUUAGAAGCAGCCAUCAUUUAAAGAAAGCGUAAUAGCUCACUGGUCGAGUCGGCCUGCGCGGAAGAUGUAACGGGGCUAAACCAUGCACCGAAGCUGCGGCAGCGACGCUUAUGCGUUGUUGGGUAGGGGAGCGUUCUGUAAGCCUGUGAAGGUGUGCUGUGAGGCAUGCUGGAGGUAUCAGAAGUGCGAAUGCUGACAUAAGUAACGAUAAAGCGGGUGAAAAGCCCGCUCGCCGGAAGACCAAGGGUUCCUGUCCAACGUUAAUCGGGGCAGGGUGAGUCGACCCCUAAGGCGAGGCCGAAAGGCGUAGUCGAUGGGAAACAGGUUAAUAUUCCUGUACUUGGUGUUACUGCGAAGGGGGGACGGAGAAGGCUAUGUUGGCCGGGCGACGGUUGUCCCGGUUUAAGCGUGUAGGCUGGUUUUCCAGGCAAAUCCGGAAAACCAAGGCUGAGGCGUGAUGACGAGGCACUACGGUGCUGAAGCGACAAAUGCCCUGCUUCCAGGAAAAGCCUCUAAGCAUCAGGUAACAUCAAAUCGUACCCCAAACCGACACAGGUGGUCAGGUAGAGAAUACCAAGGCGCUUGAGAGAACUCGGGUGAAGGAACUAGGCAAAAUGGUGCCGUAACUUCGGGAGAAGGCACGCUGAUAUGUAGGUGAAGCGACUUGCUCGUGGAGCUGAAAUCAGUCGAAGAUACCAGCUGGCUGCAACUGUUUAUUAAAAACACAGCACUGUGCAAACACGAAAGUGGACGUAUACGGUGUGACGCCUGCCCGGUGCCGGAAGGUUAAUUGAUGGGGUUAGCGGCAACGCGAAGCUCUUGAUCGAAGCCCCGGUAAACGGCGGCCGUAACUAUAACGGUCCUAAGGUAGCGAAAUUCCUUGUCGGGUAAGUUCCGACCUGCACGAAUGGCGUAAUGAUGGCCAGGCUGUCUCCACCCGAGACUCAGUGAAAUUGAACUCGCUGUGAAGAUGCAGUGUACCCGCGGCAAGACGGAAAGACCCCGUGAACCUUUACUAUAGCUUGACACUGAACAUUGAGCCUUGAUGUGUAGGAUAGGUGGGAGGCUUUGAAGUGUGGACGCCAGUCUGCAUGGAGCCGACCUUGAAAUACCACCCUUUAAUGUUUGAUGUUCUAACGUGGGCCCCUAAUCGGGGUUGCGGACAGUGUCUGGUGGGUAGUUUGACUGGGGCGGUCUCCUCCUAAAGAGUAACGGAGGAGCACGAAGGUUGGCUAAUCCUGGUCGGACAUCAGGAGGUUAGUGCAAUGGCAUAAGCCAGCUUGACUGCGAGCGUGACGGCGCGAGCAGGUGCGAAAGCAGGUCAUAGUGAUCCGGUGGUUCUGAAUGGAAGGGCCAUCGCUCAACGGAUAAAAGGUACUCCGGGGAUAACAGGCUGAUACCGCCCAAGAGUUCAUAUCGACGGCGGUGUUUGGCACCUCGAUGUCGGCUCAUCACAUCCUGGGGCUGAAGUAGGUCCCAAGGGUAUGGCUGUUCGCCAUUUAAAGUGGUACGCGAGCUGGGUUUAGAACGUCGUGAGACAGUUCGGUCCCUAUCUGCCGUGGGCGCUGGAGAACUGAGGGGGGCUGCUCCUAGUACGAGAGGACCGGAGUGGACGCAUCACUGGUGUUCGGGUUGUCAUGCCAAUGGCACUGCCCGGUAGCUAAAUGCGGAAGAGAUAAGUGCUGAAAGCAUCUAAGCACGAAACUUGCCCCGAGAUGAGUUCUCCCUGACUCCUUGAGAGUCCUGAAGGAACGUUGAAGACGACGACGUUGAUAGGCCGGGUGUGUAAGCGCAGCGAUGCGUUGAGCUAACCGGUACUAAUGAACCGUGAGGCUUAACCUU
RNAcentral lists this ribosomal RNA (2903 nucleotides) under Escherichia coli UMEA 3185-1. RNAcentral describes it as "bacterial LSU rRNA". It matches the Rfam family "Bacterial large subunit ribosomal RNA". The record is from RNAcentral. Lineage: Bacteria; Pseudomonadati; Pseudomonadota; Gammaproteobacteria; Enterobacterales; Enterobacteriaceae.